RNAcentral lists this small RNA (55 nucleotides) under Salmonella enterica subsp. enterica serovar Heidelberg. RNAcentral's name for it is "partial RtT sRNA". It matches the Rfam family "RtT RNA", at positions 76 to 130 of the family's 130-position model. Rfam says of the family: This family represents a bacterial cis-regulatory element known as RtT RNA. The exact function of RtT is unknown although it is thought that it may be involved in changing the cellular response in relation to amino acid starvation. RNAcentral also lists the same sequence under 28 other names. The record is from RNAcentral. Lineage: Bacteria; Pseudomonadati; Pseudomonadota; Gammaproteobacteria; Enterobacterales; Enterobacteriaceae.
GCAACGACCCGAAGGGCGAAGCGCGCAGCGCUGAGUCAUCCUUCCCCCACCACCA